GGCUUCCGUGACCCCGGUCUAGCACCGGGAUGUUCAUAACCCUUUGUUGUCCGACUCUGUUGCCUCCGGGGCGACCCUGCCUUCGGGCGGGGGCUCCGGGUGGACACUUCAAACUCUUGCGUAACUUUGCAGUCUGAGUAAACUUAAUUAAUAAAUUAAAACUUUUAACAACGGAUCUCUUGGUUCUGGCAUCGAUGAAGAACGCAGCGAAAUGCGAUAAGUAAUGUGAAUUGCAGAAUUCAGUGAAUCAUCGAAUCUUUGAACGCACAUUGCGCCCCCUGGUAUUCCGGGGGGCAUGCCUGUUCGAGCGUCAUUUCACCACUCAAGCCUCGCUUGGUAUUGGGCAACGCGGUCCGCCGCGUGCCUCAAAUCGACCGGCUGGGUCUUCUGUCCCCUAAGCGUUGUGGAAACUAUUCGCUAAAGGGUGCUCGGGAGGCUACGCCGUAAAACAAACCCAUUUCUAAGGUUGACCUCGGAUCAGGUAGGGAUACCCGCUGAACUUAAGCAUAUCAUAAAGGCGGAGGAA
RNAcentral lists this ribosomal RNA (526 nucleotides) under Cladosporium cladosporioides. RNAcentral's name for it is "eukaryotic LSU rRNA". The stretch from base 160 to 313 matches the Rfam family "5.8S ribosomal RNA". The record is from RNAcentral. Lineage: Eukaryota; Fungi; Ascomycota; Dothideomycetes; Cladosporiales; Cladosporiaceae.